GUUUCUCUAGCUUAUUUGGUAAAGCACCGGUUUGUGGUACCGGAGAACAGGGUUCGAUUCCCGGGGAUACCCCA
RNAcentral lists this transfer RNA (74 nucleotides) under Chryseobacterium camelliae. RNAcentral's name for it is "tRNA-His". It matches the Rfam family "tRNA". From Rfam's summary of the family: Transfer RNA (tRNA) molecules are approximately 80 nucleotides in length. The record is from RNAcentral. Lineage: Bacteria; Pseudomonadati; Bacteroidota; Flavobacteriia; Flavobacteriales; Weeksellaceae.